This 692-nucleotide ribosomal RNA is filed under the name Lysinibacillus sp. 10BL. RNAcentral's name for it is "bacterial SSU rRNA". It matches the Rfam family "Bacterial small subunit ribosomal RNA", at positions 73 to 749 of the family's 1533-position model. The record is from RNAcentral. Lineage: Bacteria; Bacillati; Bacillota; Bacilli; Caryophanales; Bacillaceae.
AAGGAGCUUGCUCCUUCGACGUUAGCGGCGGACGGGUGAGUAACACGUGGGCAACCUACCUUAUAGUUUGGGAUAACUCCGGGAAACCGGGGCUAAUACCGAAUAAUCUGUUUCACCUCAUGGUGAAACACUGAAAGACGGUUUCGGCUGUCGCUAUAGGAUGGGCCCGCGGCGCAUUAGCUAGUUGGUGAGGUAACGGCUCACCAAGGCGACGAUGCGUAGCCGACCUGAGAGGGUGAUCGGCCACACUGGGACUGAGACACGGCCCAGACUCCUACGGGAGGCAGCAGUAGGGAAUCUUCCACAAUGGGCGAAAGCCUGAUGGAGCAACGCCGCGUGAGUGAAGAAGGAUUUCGGUUCGUAAAACUCUGUUGUAAGGGAAGAACAAGUACAGUAGUAACUGGCUGUACCUUGACGGUACCUUAUUAGAAAGCCACGGCUAACUACGUGCCAGCAGCCGCGGUAAUACGUAGGUGGCAAGCGUUGUCCGGAAUUAUUGGGCGUAAAGCGCGCGCAGGUGGUUUCUUAAGUCUGAUGUGAAAGCCCACGGCUCAACCGUGGAGGGUCAUUGGAAACUGGGAGACUUGAGUGCAGAAGAGGAUAGUGGAAUUCCAAGUGUAGCGGUGAAAUGCGUAGAGAUUUGGAGGAACACCAGUGGCGAAGGCGACUAUCUGGUCUGUAACUGACACUGA